AUUGAACGCUGGCGGCAUGCCUUACACAUGCAAGUCGAACGGCAGCACGGGAGCAAUCCUGGUGGCGAGUGGCGAACGGGUGAGUAAUAUAUCGGAACGUGCCCAGUCGUGGGGGAUAACGUAGCGAAAGCUACGCUAAUACCGCAUACGAUCUAUGGAUGAAAGCGGGGGAUCGCAAGACCUCGCGCGAUUGGAGCGGCCGAUAUCAGAUUAGGUAGUUGGUGAGGUAAAGGCUCACCAAGCCGACGAUCUGUAGCUGGUCUGAGAGGACGACCAGCCACACUGGGACUGAGACACGGCCCAGACUCCUACGGGAGGCAGCAGUGGGGAAUUUUUGGACAAUGGGCGCAAGCCUGAUCCAGCAAUGCCGCGUGCAGGAUGAAGGCCUCGG
RNAcentral lists this ribosomal RNA (391 nucleotides) under uncultured bacterium. RNAcentral describes it as "bacterial SSU rRNA". It matches the Rfam family "Bacterial small subunit ribosomal RNA", at positions 30 to 420 of the family's 1533-position model. The record is from RNAcentral.